UGGGGAAUCUUGCGCAAUGCGCGAAAGCGUGACGCAGCAACGCCGCGUGGGGGAAGACGGCCUUCGGGUUGUAAACCCCUUUCAGGAGGGACGAAGGUUCGCCGGUGAACAGCCGUGCGGAUUGACGGUACCUCCACAAGAAGCUCCGGCUAACUACGUGCCAGCAGCCGCGGUAAUACGUAGGGAGCAAGCGUUGUCCGGAAUCAUUGGGCGUAAAGCGCGCGUAGGUGGCCAUUUAAGUCCGCUGUGAAAGUCAAAGGCUCAACCUUUGAAAGCCGGUGGAUACUGGAUGGCUAGAGUACGGAAGAGGCGAGUGGAAUUCCUGGUGUAGCGGUGGAAUGCGCAGAUAUCAGGAGGAACACCAAUAGCGAAGGCAGCUCGCUGGGACGUUACUGACACUGAGGCGCGAAAGCGUGGGGAGCGAACAGGAUUAGAUACCCUGGUAGUCCACGCCGUAAACGAUGGGUACUAGGUGUGGGAGGUGUCGACUCCUCCCGUGCCGU
RNAcentral lists this ribosomal RNA (503 nucleotides) under uncultured Actinomycetes bacterium. RNAcentral's name for it is "bacterial SSU rRNA". It matches the Rfam family "Bacterial small subunit ribosomal RNA", at positions 355 to 849 of the family's 1533-position model. The record is from RNAcentral. Lineage: Bacteria; Bacillati; Actinomycetota; Actinomycetes.